Long non-coding RNA from Ctenopharyngodon idella (grass carp), 1611 nucleotides. RefSeq lists it as uncharacterized. The transcript is spliced from 4 exons. The record is from RefSeq and is a predicted model, not a curated record. NCBI's taxonomy places the organism in Eukaryota, Metazoa, Chordata, Actinopteri, Cypriniformes, Xenocyprididae.
CACACUCCACACCAAUCACCUGUUGCCACAUACAGCUUAGCACACUACCUGGACUAUACAAGACUCACACACACACCACCUGAUUGCGAAGUCUUGUUAACCAUUGUUGCAAUUCUGAGCGUUUAUAUCCUGUCUGCCUGUUUGUUACCGAUCCUGUCUGUUACCCGUUGUCGACCCGUUGCUGCCUACCUUUGAUCCUUGCCUGGUAUUCUGUUCUAGUCUGACUGCAGACGUGCGAUGAGUAAGUGUGUGUUGUCUCCCGACGGGAGAGAGGGCGGACUGUGCCGAACGUAGGCACGUAAUCUGAAGAGCGUAACUAUAUAUAAGAGGGCUACUGACGGAGUAACGUGGUUGCAUUAUCCGUGGACAUGGCUCGAGUUGAGACGUUUGAGUUUGAUGUGGAGCAGGGACAGAUGAUGCAGAUUUUGAUCCGACAUUGUCAAACCAUGAAGCGUCAGGAGACACGACUGCGCUUGGCCACUGCGGCGCUGCUCGCAACAUUCCUCGCGACUUUGCUGUGGCUACAGUUUCAACAACAAACUACUAAGGAUGCAUUUUCCGGUGCCCAUUCAGAGGCUUUGGAUACUGAAGGACCACCAAUGAGACACUCUGUACAUCUUGAAGCUAGAAACCAGUUUGGUGAUUGUUCAGAAGAACAGCCCAUCAAGUGGGGCACUAUGGAUGAUGGCAUUGACUCCCAAAAUUUUAAGCUGGAAAACCAAACAAUCCUCCACGUCUUCACAAAGGGUCUCUACUUGAUCAAUCUAAGGAUCUCUUACCGUGUAGUCUAUAAUCAGUGUGAUCCUAAUUCAGAGCUUUUGACUUUAGAGGUCAAUGUCUCACAGAAGCAUAGCAACUAUGAAAUAGAGAGAGAGGUUAUAAGUGGUAAAGAGUCUAUGUUUUGUAGAAAUUUUUGGCUGCAGUCAAUCACUUUGAAUCGAGUUAUCAUGCUGGAAUCUGAGACUACUCUCAGGGUGAAAAUUAACAAGAAGAGUUGCAAGUUUGUCAACUGGGUAAGAAACAGUCACUUGGAUGUCACUUACCUCUAGCUUUGGCUUUUACUAGGUUUUACUAGCCGAUGCCAUUAAUGCGCAUUUGAGGUUUGUUAGCAUUAAGGUGUGCUUAAUUUUUAAUGACCUUAUAUUUAGGUUCGCAUAUAUAUGAGAAUGUAUAACCACUUUAAUUAAUUUUCUAGUUUGAGAGGUUUACUCUGAACCAUAAUGCUGAAAUUGUUAUUAAAUAACAUGACUACACAUGUAUGUACUAUCCGCAAAAGAAGCAGUAGUGAAUAAUUAAGUGUCGUUGUACCAGCUAAAUUGCACUAAAAUGUUGGUAGCUAGAGAAACAAUUUGCAUGUUUUAUGUUAAAACUUUUUGAAUGUGCAUUUAUGAACUUAUUCAUGAAGAGACUUUUUGUUGUCAUUUGAUUUUAAAAAUCAGAUCUGUUAAUUUUUAAACUUUUCUAAGUUGGAACCCUUCCUGUUUAUUACAAUGACCUCUAUGUACCAAUUGUAUACAUCUCCAUUUCAGAAUGCAAUGUAUUUUUGUGUGGUUUACUCAUAAUUAUGUGGUUUUGUAUUGAAAUUCAAAUAAAUAUUUGUUUGUAAAUUUG